This 253-nucleotide ribosomal RNA is filed under the name uncultured bacterium. RNAcentral describes it as "partial 16S ribosomal RNA". It matches the Rfam family "Bacterial small subunit ribosomal RNA", at positions 524 to 776 of the family's 1533-position model. The record is from RNAcentral.
UACGUAGGGUGCGAGCGUUAAUCGGAAUUACUGGGCGUAAAGCGUGCGCAGGCGGUUUUGUAAGCCAGAUGUGAAAGCCCCGGGCUUAACCUGGGAAUGGCAUUUGGGACUGCAAGGCUAGAGUGUGGCAGAGGAGACUGGAAUUCCUGGUGUAGCAGUGAAAUGCGUAGAUAUCAGGAGGAAUACCGAUGGCGAAGGCAGGUCUCUGGGUUAACACUGACGCUCAUGCACGAAAGCGUGGGGAGCAAACAGG